RNAcentral lists this ribosomal RNA (253 nucleotides) under uncultured bacterium. RNAcentral's name for it is "partial 16S ribosomal RNA". It matches the Rfam family "Bacterial small subunit ribosomal RNA", at positions 524 to 776 of the family's 1533-position model. The record is from RNAcentral.
UACGAAGGGGGCUAGCGUUGCUCGGAAUCACUGGGCGUAAAGCGCACGUAGGCGGGUCGUUAAGUCGGGGGUGAAAUCCUGGAGCUCAACUCCAGAACUGCCUUCGAUACUGGCGACCUUGAGUCUGGGAGAGGUGAGUGGAACUCCGAGUGUAGAGGUGAAAUUCGUAGAUAUUCGGAAGAACACCAGUGGCGAAGGCGGCUCACUGGCCCGGUACUGACGCUGAGGUGCGAAAGCCAGGGGAGCAAACGGG